This 222-nucleotide unclassified non-coding RNA is filed under the name uncultured Marasmius. Its description in RNAcentral is "sequence contains ITS1". Lineage: Eukaryota; Fungi; Basidiomycota; Agaricomycetes; Agaricales; Tricholomataceae. The record is from RNAcentral.
UUGAAACGUUGUAAAGGAAAGUUGAGCUGGUCCUUAUAGGGCAUUGUGCUCGCUUUUCUUUCAAUCUUCAUCCACCUGUGCACCUUUUGUAGAAUGACCCUUAGAAAGCAAAAGCCCUUUUGGGCUCUGUUAGUAUUUGGGCCUUUCUAUGUAUCACAAACUCAAAUGUAUGUUUUUGAAUGUCUUUUAUAAGGGGACUUAGUUGGCCCUUUUAAAACUAUA